AGAGUUUGAUCCUGGCUCAGAACGUACGCUGGCGGCACGCCUAAUACAUGCAAGUCGAACGAAGUAGCAAUACUUAGUGGCAGACGGGUGAGUAACAUGUAGGUAUCUACCCUUUGGCCUGGAAUAACACGAGGAAACUUGUGCUAAUACCGGAUAAGUCUUUACGGAGAAAGCUUUAUGCACCAUUGGAUGAGCCUGCACUUGAUUAGUUUGUUGGUGGGGUAAUGGCCUACCAAGACAAUGAUCAAUAGCUGAUUUGAGAGGAUGAUCAGCCACAUUGGGACUGAGACACGGCCCAAACUCCUACGGGAGGCAGCAGUAGGGAAUCUUGCACAAUGGAGGAAACUCUGAUGCAGCGAUGCCGCGUGAGUGAAGAAGGCCUUUGGGUUGUAAAGCUCUUUCGUCGGGGAAGAAAAUGACUGUACCCGAAUAAGAAGGUCCGGCUAACUUCGUGCCAGCAGCCGCGGUAAUACGAAGGGACCUAGCGUAGUUCGGAAUUACUGGGCUUAAAGAGUUCGUAGGUGGUUAAAGAAGUUGGUGGUGAAAUCCCAGAGCUUAACUCUGGAACUGCCAUCAAAACUUUUUAGCUAGAGUAUGAUAGAGGAAAGCAGAAUUUCUAGUGUAGAGGUGAAAUUCGUAGAUAUUAGAAAGAAUACCGAUUGCGAAGGCAGCUUUCUGGAUCAUUACUGACACUGAGGAACGAAAGCAUGGGUAGCGAAGAGGAUUAGAUACCCUCGUAGUCCAUGCCGUAAACGAUGUGUGUUAGACGUUGGAAAUUUAUUUUCAGUGUCGCAGCGAAAGCGAUAAACACACCGCCUGGGGAGUACGACCGCAAGGUUAAAACUCAAAUGAAUUGACGGGGACCCGCACAAGUAGUGGAGCAUGUGGUUUAAUUCGAAGAUACGCGCAGAACCUUACCAACACUUGACAUGUUCGUCGCGACUCUAAGAGAUUAGAGUUUUCGGUUCGGCCGGACGAAACACAGGUGCUGCAUGGCUGUCGUCAGCUCGUGUCGUGAGAUGUUGGGUUAAGUCCCGCAACGAGCGCAACCCUUACUUUUAGUUGCCAUCAUUUAGUUGGGCACUCUGAAAGAACUGCCAGUGAUAAGCUGGAGGAAGGUGGGGAUGACGUCAAGUCCUCAUGGCCCUUAUGUGUUGGGCUACACACGUGCUACAAUGGUAUCUACAACAGGAAGCAAGAUGGCAACGUUAAGCAAAUCCCAAAAAGAUACCUCAGUUCGGAUUGCACUCUGCAACUCGAGUGCAUGAAGCUGGAAUUACUAGUAAUCGUGGAUCAGCGUGCCACGGUGAAUACGUUCCCGGGUCUUGUACACACCGCCCGUCACACCAUGGGAGUUGGUUCUACCUUAAGGCAAAGUUUAAAACCUUUGACCACGGUAUAGUCAGCGACUGGGGUGAAGUCGUAACAAGGUAACC
Molecule: ribosomal RNA, 1436 nt
Filed under: uncultured bacterium
Lineage: Bacteria
Description: bacterial SSU rRNA
Rfam family: Bacterial small subunit ribosomal RNA
Source: RNAcentral